UCCUAGAAAGAGCCGCCCUCACGGCCUCUUCAGAAGGCAGCCGGUGCGUGCCAGAGCCAUCUCCGCUGCCCGGAGCCCUUGGUGCUCAGAGCAGGGAUGCUGCGCCCGCAGGGGGAUGCUUCCCGUGCUGCUGGGGGUGAAACAGGGGGGGCUGCGGGGCUGGAGGGGGCCGCAGCCACUCCUGCAGGAGGGACGUGGGAGGCAACUGGUGUGCCAGCGGGCGCGGAGGAAUGCGGCAGCAUGGGGGUGGGGGGGGGGGAGGACAGAAAUUAAUAAUUAUCUAAAGCGCACCCCUAUCACUGUUCAUCAAAAUUUGCCCAUACUUCAUUCCAGCCUCCUUUCUUCUUCUUGCCUCCAACCAGACCUGGACCAGUGGAGUGCUUGGUGUCAGCAUCCAAGUGUGUGCUUUCAUGCACAGCGUAUGCAAAUGCCAGAUGGUGCACGGGAGCCCCACGCUGCUCCCCAGUGUCCCAGACCAGGGCAUUGGCAACCCAGAGGAGGGGAGAGCAGCGUUGGGACCGGGGGGGUCAUCACCGAGGAUGUGGCACUUCCAGUCCCAGGGUGCGGUGUGCUGCUCGCCGCUGGUAGCUCCACACGGGCAUGA
Molecule: long non-coding RNA, 604 nt
Filed under: Anser brachyrhynchus (Pink-footed goose)
Lineage: Eukaryota; Metazoa; Chordata; Aves; Anseriformes; Anatidae
Description: lncRNA (ENSABRG00000007829.1)
Source: RNAcentral